CAUAGGUUAAUGAGGCGAACCGGGGGAACUGAAACAUCUAAGUACCCCGAGGAAAAGAAAUCAACCGAGAUUCCCCCAGUAGCGGCGAGCGAACGGGGAGCAGCCCAGAGCCUGAAUCAGUGUGUGUGUUAGUGGAAGCGUCUGGAAAGGCGCGCGAUACAGGGUGACAGCCCCGUACACAAAAAUGCACAUACUGUGAGCUCGAUGAGUAGGGCGGGACACGUGGUAUCCUGUCUGAAUAUGGGGGGACCAUCCUCCAAGGCUAAAUACUCCUGACUGACCGAUAGUGAACCAGUACCGUGAGGGAAAGGCGAAAAGAACCCCGGCGAGGGGAGUGAAAAAGAACCUGAAACCGUGUACGUACAAGCAGUGGGAGCACGCUUAGGCGUGUGACUGCGUACCUUUUGUAUAAUGGGUCAGCGACUUAUAUUCUGUAGCAAGGUUAACCGAAUAGGGGAGCCGAAGGGAAACCGAGUCUUAACUGGGCGUUAAGUUGCAGGGUAUAGACCCGAAACCCGGUGAUCUAGCCAUGGGCAGGUUGAAGGUUGGGUAACACUAACUGGAGGACCGAACCGACUAAUGUUGAAAAAUUAGCGGAUGACUUGUGGCUGGGGGUGAAAGGCCAAUCAAACCGGGAGAUAGCUGGUUCUCCCCGAAAGCUAUUUAGGUAGCGCCUCGUGAAUUCAUCUCCGGGGGUAGAGCACUGUUUCGGCAAGGGGGUCAUCCCGACUUACCAACCCGAUGCAAACUGCGAAUACCGGAGAAUGUUAUCACGGGAGACACACGGCGGGUGCUAACGUCCGUCGUGAAGAGGGAAACAACCCAGACCGCCAGCUAAGGUCCCAAAGUCAUGGUUAAGUGGGAAACGAUGUGGGAAGGCCCAGACAGCCAGGAUGUUGGCUUAGAAGCAGCCAUCAUUUAAAGAAAGCGUAAUAGCUCACUGGUCGAGUCGGCCUGCGCGGAAGAUGUAACGGGGCUAAACCAUGCACCGAAGCUGCGGCAGCGACGCUGAUGCGUUGUUGGGUAGGGGAGCGUUCUGUAAGCCUGUGAAGGUGUGCUGUGAGGCAUGCUGGAGGUAUCAGAAGUGCGAAUGCUG
This 1096-nucleotide ribosomal RNA is filed under the name Escherichia coli. RNAcentral describes it as "partial 23S ribosomal RNA". It matches the Rfam family "Bacterial large subunit ribosomal RNA", at positions 165 to 1299 of the family's 2925-position model. Lineage: Bacteria; Pseudomonadati; Pseudomonadota; Gammaproteobacteria; Enterobacterales; Enterobacteriaceae. The record is from RNAcentral.